RNAcentral lists this long non-coding RNA (979 nucleotides) under Mus musculus (house mouse). RNAcentral describes it as "long non-coding RNA chr2:143919529-143920508". Lineage: Eukaryota; Metazoa; Chordata; Mammalia; Rodentia; Muridae. The record is from RNAcentral.
AUAUAUAUGCUGUACUUGCUUAGCCCCUUUCAGCUUGUCAAAAAUCUUGUGUUCUUUUGGGGAGGGUGUUGAUUUUUAUUAUAUUUACUUAAUUUUGGGGUGAGGAAGGGGGGCUUGAGACAGUGUGUGUCUGCAUAGCCCUGGCUGUCCUGGAACUCACUCUGUAGACUAAGCUAGCCUCAAACUCAGAAAUCCACCACCACCACCACCCGGCUUACAUUACUUCACUGUGUUCCUACCCAAGCUUGCAGAGAUCUACUUGUAGCAGUCAGAGAUCAACUGGGUGGAGUUGGUUCUCUCCUUCUACCAUGUGGGUCCUGAGCAACAAACUCGGGUCCUCAGACUUGGUGGGCAUAUGCCUUUACUCUGAGCCACUUUAGCAGCCCAGGGUGCUGGAUUGAACGAAUAUUUAUUAUUUUACUGUAAAGCUGUACAUGUUUAUUCGCCCCUCUGUUACUGGACAUUUUAACAUUUCUUCAGUUGGUUUAUCUGUUUAAACUUUUCACCAUAGUUGAUUUAACAUUAUUAUGUAUUCUUUGUCUUGUCCCUGUUUGUGUGUCUCUUGGUAUAAACACACAGACUCUUAUAUGCAUUCUCUGUUCUGCUGGUAUGUCUGACUUGGUGUUGUAUCUAUAACCUUUUGGUGGCUUGAAUAAGAGAUCGCCCCUCGUGAGCUCAUGUGUUUGAACACUUGAUCCCCAGCUGGUAGAAAUAACUGGCACAGCCUCUUUAUAUUUCUUUUUACCUAAUAUGAGCCUUAAGUCUCUUGCCUAUCUGAUGUGUAGAAGAUGGUUUCUAUGUUUGACUGGGGUGUGUGUGUACUUUUUUUUUUUAAUUGAGGCUGGGCAUAGACCCUAAAAGCCUCAUGUGGUGCUAGGUAAGCAAGGUGACCAGCAUGCUCCACAUCAGAUAGGCAGCUUUUAUAUAUAUGAUACACCUGUGAACCUGACUUCAGCUGAGCUGGACAAUCUAGUACUGA